This 556-nucleotide long non-coding RNA is filed under the name Brassica napus (rape). RNAcentral's name for it is "long non-coding RNA (BNAP_LNC021621)". The record is from RNAcentral. Lineage: Eukaryota; Viridiplantae; Streptophyta; Magnoliopsida; Brassicales; Brassicaceae.
ACUUAGCCCAAAUUCUAGAAAUAUUAUCCACCUCCUUAAAAUAAAAAUCUAGAUAUUCUUAUAGAAUUAUCUAGAUAAUUAAGAUAAAAUAAUCUAGAUUUUUAAAUAGAAUUCUCUAGAUUUAAUAUUAAAAUAUGUAAGAUAUUUUGUACUUUGGAGACUAUAAAUACCUCCACUCUCUUUUCAUUUUGUAUCAUCAAGAAAUAAUCAAGUUUCUAACAAACUUUCAAGUAAUAAUAAAUCAUCUUCUCAAUUAUAAAAAGCUUUCUUCUUCACACAAAACACUUUCUCUUCAAACACUUAAACACAAUCUCCAUCUCUACAAAGUUUUUCUUCCAACACAAUGUAUAUACGAAAUGAAAACUAGUUAGGAUCUGGCACAAGUCGGACUAGACCAAGGUAAUCUGUAUACAUCAUUGCACUUCCACUUGACACCUAUCGAACUCAUGAAAUUAUGAAGUGGUUUGAAAGCUUCAUUCAUGAACUCCAUACCUUGAUUAGAAAGCUACCAAUUAGGUUUGAGAGAUCAAACAUAAACGGCCCAUGGACUGAUGCC